Molecule: ribosomal RNA, 495 nt
Filed under: uncultured Streptococcus sp.
Lineage: Bacteria; Bacillati; Bacillota; Bacilli; Lactobacillales; Streptococcaceae
Description: bacterial SSU rRNA
Rfam family: Bacterial small subunit ribosomal RNA
Source: RNAcentral
ACGAACGCUGGCGGCGUGCCUAAUACAUGCAAGUAGAACGCUGAAGAGAGGAGCUUGCUCUUCUUGGAUGAGUUGCGAACGGGUGAGUAACGCGUAGGUAACCUGCCUUGUAGCGGGGGAUAACUAUUGGAAACGAUAGCUAAUACCGCAUAACAAUGGAUGACACAUGUCAUUUAUUUGAAAGGGGCAAUUGCUCCACUACAAGAUGGACCUGCGUUGUAUUAGCUAGUAGGUGAGGUAAUGGCUCACCUAGGCGACGAUACAUAGCCGACCUGAGAGGGUGAUCGGCCACACUGGGACUGAGACACGGCCCAGACUCCUACGGGAGGCAGCAGUAGGGAAUCUUCGGCAAUGGGGGCAACCCUGACCGAGCAACGCCGCGUGAGUGAAGAAGGUUUUCGGAUCGUAAAACUCUGUUGUUAGAGAAGAACAAGUGCUAGAGUAACUGUUAGCGCCUUGACGGUAUCUAACCAGAAAGCCACGGCUAACUACGUG